This 422-nucleotide ribosomal RNA is filed under the name uncultured bacterium. RNAcentral describes it as "bacterial SSU rRNA". It matches the Rfam family "Bacterial small subunit ribosomal RNA", at positions 382 to 825 of the family's 1533-position model. The record is from RNAcentral.
CCUGACGCAGCGACGCCGCGUGAGCGAAGAAGGCCUUCGGGUCGUAAAGCCCUUUUCCAGGGGACGAGGAAGGACGGUACCCUGGGAAUAAGGUUCGGCUAACUACGUGCCAGCAGCCGCGGUAAUACGUAGGAACCGAGCGUUAUCCGGAUUCACUGGGCGUAAAGCGCGUGUAGGCGGUUCUAUAAGUCGGGCGUGAAAGCUCUUGGCUUAACUGAGAGAGGUCGUCCGAUACUCUAGGGCUUGAGGUCGGGAGAGGGACGUGGAAUUCCCGGUGUAGUGGUGGAAUGCGUAGAGAUCGGGAGGAACAUCAGUGGCGAAGGCGACGUCCUGGCCCGCACCUGGCGCUCAGACGCGAAAGCGUGGGUAGCGAACGGGAUUAGAUACCCCGGUAGUCCACGCUGUUAACGCAUUAAGUGCUC